RNAcentral lists this ribosomal RNA (490 nucleotides) under uncultured bacterium. RNAcentral describes it as "partial 16S ribosomal RNA". It matches the Rfam family "Bacterial small subunit ribosomal RNA", at positions 30 to 507 of the family's 1533-position model. The record is from RNAcentral.
AUUGAACGCUGGCGGCAGGCCUAACACAUGCCAGUCGAACGGUAACAGGAAGCAGCUUGCUGCUUUGCUGACGAGUGGCGGACGGGUGAGUAAUGUCUGGGAAACUUCCUGAUGGAGGGGGAUAACUACUGGAAACGGUAGCUAAUACCGCAUAACGUCGCAAGACCAAAGAGGGGGACCUUCGGGCCUCUUGCCAUCGGAUGUGCCCAGAUGGGAUUAGCUAGUAGGUGGGGUAACGGCUCACCUAGGCGACGAUCCCUAGCUGGUCUGAGAGGAUGACCAGCCACACUGGAACGGAGACACGGUCCAGACUCCUACGGGAGGCAGCAGUGGGGAAUAUUGCACAAUGGGCGCAAGCCUGAUGCAGCCAUGCCGCGUGUAUGAAGAAGGCCUUCGGGUUGUAAAGUACUUUCAGCGGGGAGGAAGGGAGUAAAGUUAAUACCUUUGCUAAUUGACGUUACCCGCAGAAGAAGCACCGGCUAACUCCGUG